GGUUAGGGUUAGGGUUAGGGUUAGGGUUAGGGUUAGGGUUAGGGUUAGGGUUAGGGUUAGGGUUAGGGUUAGGGUUAGGGUUAGGGUUAGGGUUAGGGUUAGGGUUAGGGUUAGGGUUAGGGUUAGGGUUAGGAUAGAGGGUUUUAGCCAGAAGUGCCAGGGGGUGCACUUGGUUUUUGGCGAAUAGCUUUGUCUGUGGUGGUCGCAGAGUCACGAGACCCACAUGCUCCCCCACUAAUUCUAUGAUGGGCUUUCCAACGGUGCCAGCCCCAUGUCUCUACGAGCUAGCGUCAGCGAGCUACAGUGAUAUGGAGGGGGGGGUGCAGUUGUAUUUGGCCCAAUAACUUUGUCUGUGGUGGUCGCAGAGUCAUGAGACCCACAUGCUCCCCCACUAAUUCCACGAUGGGCUUUCCAACGGCACCAGCCACGAGUCUCUCUGAGCUUGCGUUAGGGUUAUGGUUAGGGUUAGGGUUAGGGUUAGAGAUAGAGGGUGCAGUUGUAUUUGGCCCAAUAACUUUGUCUGUGGUGGUCGCAGAGUCACGAGACCCACAUGCUCCCCCACUAAUUCUAUGAUGGGCUUUCCAACGGUGCCAGCCCCAUGUCUCUACGAGCUAGCGUCAGCGAGCUACAGUGAUAUGGAGGGGGGGUGCAGUUGUAUUUGGCCCAGUAACUUUGUCUGUGGUGGUCGCAGAGUCAUGAGACCCACAUGCUCCCCCACUAAUUCCAUGAUGGGCUUUCCAACGGCACCAGCCACGAGUCUCUCUGAGCUUGCGUUGCUGAGAUAUACUCUGUAUGCUCUCUGGGCCUCAUAUAUGGGUGCGGCCUUAGCGAGAAUUCACUCUGGCUGAGGUUUGUCUAUGAUAGAGGGUUUUAGCCAGAAGUGCCAGGGGGUGCACUUGGUUUUUGGCGAAUAGCUUUGUCUGUGGUGGUCGCAGAGUCACGAGACCCACAUGCUCCCCCACUAAUUCUAUGAUGGGCUUUCCAACGGUGCCAGCCCCAUGUCUCUACGAGCUAGCGUCAGCGAGCUACAGUGAUAUGGAGGGGGGGUGCAGUUGUAUUUGGCCCAAUAACUUUGUCUGUGGUGGUCGCAGAGUCAUGAGACCCACAUGCUCCCCCACUAAUUCCACGAUGGGCUUUCCAACGGCACCAGCCACGAGUCUCUCUGAGCUUGCGUUAGGGUUAUGGUUAGGGUUAGGGUUAGGGUUAGAGAUAGAGGGUGCAGUUGUAUUUGGCCCAAUAACUUUGUCUGUGGUGGUCGCAGAGUCACGAGACCCACAUGCUCCCCCACUAAUUCUAUGAUGGGCUUUCCAACGGUGCCAGCCCCAUGUCUCUACGAGCUAGCGUCAGCGAGCUACAGUGAUAUGGAGGGGGGGUGCAGUUGUAUUUGGCCCAAUAACUUUGUCUGUGGUGGUCGCAGAGUCAUGAGACCCACAUGCCCCCCCACUAAUUCCAUGAUGGGCUUUCCAACGCCGCCAGCCGCACCUCUCUAUGAGCUUGCAUUGCUGAGAUACGCUCUCUGGGCCUCAUAUAUGGGUGCGGCCUUAGCGAAAAUUCACUCUGACUGAGGAUGAUGAUGAUGAUGAUGACUAAUUCUACGAUGGGCUUUCCAACUUGCGUUGCUUAGAUACACUGUGU
Lates calcarifer (barramundi perch) is the source of this 1635-nucleotide long non-coding RNA. RefSeq lists it as uncharacterized. The transcript has 3 exons. The record is from RefSeq and is a predicted model, not a curated record. NCBI's taxonomy places the organism in Eukaryota, Metazoa, Chordata, Actinopteri, Centropomidae.